GUUUGUCCAGCCUCUCGUUCCCACCUCUCUACGCAGCUGGAAGAGAACACGACGUCGGGAUUAUUCACAAUUUACUAUACUUCGAAUAGAAGGUGAAAUAAUGAGGCUCCUCGUCGAGUUAACUACUGCAAAGACAAAGUUCGAAGAUGGGUGACUAAAACCACCGCAGUGACCAUAGUCGGUGCUAGGUUGUCUUUUGACAUAAUUUGAAUGAUGUCCUUUUGAGCAGGAUCACCGACUGAAUGUUGUAGCUGCCUCAUCAGGCUCCUCAGCACUGAUGCAACAUGAUUUCCAUCCUUUGGAUACUACAGUAGUCCUACUGUGUGGUGACCAUCUGGACUAUGGAGACUGCUCUCUGGGUCUUCCACACUGACGAGUUGGCGUGACCGUUCCACAGCUGUACAACUUGCUGGAAGGGAUGGAUUCGGUUUUCAUGGUGAGGUGUGACUUGCAGCCCAAGCUGGAUGGGUUGCUAGGGCUGGAAUCUUUUCCUGGAUACCACUACGUUCAAACCUAAAGAUUUUUCAGCAGACUCGCAGGCUAGAGAUUAAAGUUCUUUAAAGAAACUGAUACAUGUGCUUUGCUUUACAAAACCAUUAAGCCAUCUAGAAAAGUUUCAUUCCUACAGUUUUGUACAAGGAUUUACUCAACUGAGGCCUUUAGAGAAAUUUCAAAUAAAUGGUUGACAACA
Long non-coding RNA from Perca flavescens (yellow perch), 691 nucleotides. RefSeq lists it as uncharacterized. Lineage: Eukaryota; Metazoa; Chordata; Actinopteri; Perciformes; Percidae. The transcript is spliced from 7 exons. The record is from RefSeq and is a predicted model, not a curated record.